Molecule: ribosomal RNA, 557 nt
Filed under: uncultured Cortinarius
Lineage: Eukaryota; Fungi; Basidiomycota; Agaricomycetes; Agaricales; Cortinariaceae
Description: eukaryotic LSU rRNA
Rfam family: 5.8S ribosomal RNA (bases 166-319)
Source: RNAcentral
UGAAAUAAACCUGACGGGUUUGUUGCUGGUUCUUCAGGGAGCAUGUGCACGCCUUGUCAUCUUUAUAUCUCCACCUGUGCACCUUUUGUAGACCUUUCAAGGUCUAUGUUGCUUUCAUAUACCCCAUUGUAUGUUAAUAGAAUGUUGUGCCUAUAUAAUAUAUACAACUUUCAGCAACGGAUCUCUUGGCUCUCGCAUCGAUGAAGAACGCAGCGAAAUGCGAUAAGUAAUGUGAAUUGCAGAAUUCAGUGAAUCAUCGAAUCUUUGAACGCACCUUGCGCUCCUUGGUAUUCCGAGGAGCAUGCCUGUUUGAGUGUCAUCAAUAUAUCAACCUUCUCUUGUUGAGUGGUUUGGAUGUGGGGGUUUGCUGGCCUCUUAAAGGGUUCGGCUCCUCUGAAAUGCAUUAGCAGAACAUCUCCUGUUUCAUUGGUGUGAUAAACUAUCUACGCUAUUGAAUGCAGGGGCAGUACAGCUUUCUAACAGUCCUUGGACAAUCUAUCAUCAAUGUGACCUCAAAUCAGGUAGGACUACCCGCUGAACUUAAGCAUAUCAAUAAG